AGAGUUUGAUCAUGGCUCAGAGUGAACGCUAGUAGUAGGCUUUACACAUGCGAGUUGAAUGCUUAUAGAGUAUAGCGAACGGGUGAGUAACACGCAAGAAGCUACCUUUAAAUUUGGGAUAAAAUACCAAAUAAUCAAAAAAAUUAUUUUGUUUAAAGAUGUGCUUGUGGAAGAUUAGAUUGUUGGUAGAGUAAUAGCCUACCAAGUCGUUGAUCUUUAGCUGAUUUGAAAGAAUGUACAGCCACACUGGGACUGAGACAAGGCCCAGGCUAUUUAGCCAGCAGUGGGGAAUCUUGGACAAUGAGCGAAAGCUUGAUCCAGCUAUACUACGUGAGGGAUGCGAAGAACGUCCUUACGUUCGUAAACCUCUUUUAUUAGGGAAGAUGAUGACGUACCUAAUUAAAAAGUUCUGACAAACAGCCGUGCCAGCAGUCGCGGUAAAACGGAGAGGGCAAGCGUUACUCGUUUUUAUUUGGUGUAAAGGGUUCGUAGGCGGCCUUUAGGUUGUUUAAACUGAAAACUUAGGGCUCAACUCUUUAAGAAUAGUUUAAAAACACUUAUGGCUUGAGUGUAAAAGAAGAAUAGGGAAUUUCAAAAGGAGGGAUAAAAUCCGAAGAUUUUUGAAGGAACACCAGUGGCGAAGGCGCUAUUCUAUUUUAAAAACUGACGCUGAGGGACGAAAGGGUAGGUAGCAAACAGGAUUAGAGACCCUGGUAGUCUACCCCGUAAACUAUGAAUGCUAACUUUUAGAAUUCGUUUUAGGAGCUAAGUUAACGCAAAAGCAUUCCACCUGAGAAGUAAGAUCGCAAGGUUAAAACUCAAAGGAAUUGACGGGGGCUUAUACAAGUGGUGGAGCAUGUGGUUUAAUGCGACAAUACGCGCGAAAUCUUACCAAUCUUUGUAUUUUAACAAAUCUUGUUAGAACAGGUGUUGCAUGGCUGUCGUCAGCUCGUGCCGUGAGGUGUUUGGUUAAGUCCUUUAACGAGCGCAACUUUCACCUUCAGUUGCUAAUUUUGAGUAAAGAACUCUGAAGGAAUUACGUAUGAUAGGUACGUGGAAGGGAAAUGACGUCAAGUCCUUAUGGCCCUUAUAGAUUGGGCUACACGCGUGCUACAAUGGCAAUUACAAUAAGAAGCGAUAAGGUAACUUUGAGCAAAACUUUUAAAAAUUGUCUUAGUUCGGAUUGUUGACUGAAACUCGUCGACAUGAAGUUGGAAUCACUAGUAAUCGCAAAUCAGAAUGUUGCGGUGAAUUUGUACCUUGGCCU
RNAcentral lists this ribosomal RNA (1267 nucleotides) under uncultured bacterium. RNAcentral's name for it is "bacterial SSU rRNA". It matches the Rfam family "Bacterial small subunit ribosomal RNA", at positions 8 to 1381 of the family's 1533-position model. The record is from RNAcentral.